AUGGAUGCAAGUUUCAGAAAAGAAUCCAAACCCUUUCCAAGUCCCAACUCUUUCUCUCGUGGACGCCCCUCGCUCUUCUCUGUUUUCCCGUGGUUGCAGUGCAGAGGGACUGGAGAGCAAAAUCAGCCUGAAGUCACGGGUCAUGAAAUAGGAUGCUUGGCCUGAAAAAGGCAUGUGAAGCCAGUCCAAAUUCCGAGUAGAAAAAAGGUCUCCAGUGAGGGCGGGGACAUGGAGGCUGGAAAUUGUAAUAAUCCCAAGAGUAUGUUGGAAUUUUUAUGUGUGGACUUACAUAAUUAAUUUGAUAAUGUCAUAAAUCAGUGUUAUUUAUUUUUGCAUUGUGGUCCAUAAUGGGACUGGACACAUAUUGUUGCUUGAUUUUUAUGGGCUCACCCUAAUUCACUUGACUGGCCCAUUAAGUCAAGUGGUGGUCCAAAUAAUGUGUGUGAUAUAUAUAUAUGAAUAUAUUUAUAUAUAUAUAUAUAAAAGAAAAGGAUGGGCUCACUGUGUGGCUGGCUCCCUGCUCUUCCUCCUUUGGCUGAAAGAGAGCACGCACUCUCGUCAUGGACUGAAUCUGGGUGUAGAAGGGAAGAGCUCAUUAACCCGUAAUUCUCGCACUAUCAAGCACUAUAGAAGCUUCCUGAAUACUAGAAAAGAGCAAGAAAUGGCCUUUCACGGAAUUAACCAAGGUGAACGUUUCCGUUUUUGCCGUUCAAUGCAUGCUUAAAUGUCAACAUGUGAUCCUAUAUUGUUUAAAUUUUCUUUAAUUGGUAUCAGAGCAAGCAUGAUUGACAUUUGAGCUGCAAUUUUGGGUUAAUUUUUGGGUUUCCCGUUUCCUGUGGUGGAAGCCAUUUUUUUGGAUUUUUAUUUCUCGUCUGAUGUUGAUUCUCUGUUUUCAAGCCCGAUUGUUGUUGGAAACUUGUAGAGAAUAUUGUUUGGAGCAAAACCCAUCAUUUUAUUUGAUUUUUGGAGCUUGUUUGGUGGGAUUUCGAAAAUUAGGGCUUGUUUGGUUCUUGCUAUUAUGCGUUUUUUGUGCAAUUUUUGGGUUUGGAUUGAAGAAUUGAUGUUUGAGGAUGGAAAUCUAUGUAUUUUUGACGAAAAAUGCGUGAAAUUUUGGGUGGAAAUUUUUUUUUUCUUCUCCAGAACCAGGCCGUGCUCAGCUAGAGGAGAAGAUGAAUAGUGAUGUGAUGAAUCAUGACGUCAUAAAAAAAAAAAAAAAACCAUUUUUUUUUUUUUUGUUGCCUUGGUAUUCUUGGAUUGAUUGUGCAUAUGCUAGAAUUAUUAUGCAUUUGUUAAAUUUGACUUUAUUGGGACAAUUAUUAUUAUUAUUGUUCUUUAUGGUAUAAUUUUUCCUUAUAUCAAUAAUGUUGUCCUAUGUCAAUUUUGUUAAAUAUUUCAAUUUAUUGAGGCAAUGAAGCACACUUGUGUGAUUGCCUAUCGCAAUUCCAAGUGUGUGAUUGAUUGUGCAUAUGCUAGAAUUAUUAUGCAUUUGUUAAAUUUGGCUUUAUUGGGACAAUUAUUAUUAUUAUUGUUCUUUAUGGUAUAAUUUUUCCUUAUAUCAAUAAUGUUGUCCUAUGUCAAUUUUGUUAAAUAUUUCAAUUUAUUGAGGCAAUGAAGCACACUUGUGUGAUUGCCUAUCGCAAUUCCAAGUGUGUCAAAUUGUGAAAAUUAAGAUAUUUUGAAUUUUAUUCAUGACAAUAGUGAACAUAUGUGUGGUUGCCUAUCGUGAUCCUAUAUGUGUCAAAUUGUCUUUGUUGAGAUAUUUUAUCUCCCUCUUUUGAUUGUUUUAUUAUUGUGAUAACUAAGGUCCAUACGGGUAUUGUGAUUGUCCUAUCGAUGAUUAUAAUAUUUGGUAGGAUGCUUGGAUUGGUGAAGGAAAUUAAUUUUAUAUUAUGACUCGUACUAAUUUUCUUUGCCCUUUCGGUAAUAAAAUUAGUGCAUCUUAGUUGUGAUAUUUAAUUGAUUGUCCUUAUUAAUUGCAUAGAAUCACAUGUUGACAAAUUAAGCAUGCAUUUAACAGCAAAAUUCAAUCCGUUACCUUGGUUCGUGCUUUGGGAAGCCAUUUCUUCUCUCCUUUGAUAUCCAAUAAUCUGUUUUCCGGGUGCGUGAUGGUCCGAGAAUGAGCGAUCAUAUUUGGUAGGAUGCUUGGAUUGGUAAAAGAAAUAAUUUUAUAUUAUGACUCGUACUAAUUUUCUUUGCCCUUUCGGUAAUAAAAUUAGUGCAUCUUAGUUGUGAUAUUUAAUUGAUUGUCCUUACCGCCGUGGAAUUUUCAAAAUUCCAAGCUGUUGCUAAAUUGAGAAAUUCUGGAAACUAGCAAAUGCAUGAUUUUGUAGUAACAUGCAUAUUGCUUAAUUUUGCUAUUUUCCAGCUACUAGCAAUCCUGGUAUUACUCUGCAAUUGUUUGCCAUCAAACCCUCUUACUGGAAUAAUUUUGAGGAAUGUUUUGAGUCUUUCAAUGUGCAUAUGACUAUGCACAUUUUGGACUGGGCUUUGAGAGUUGAUAAGCCAAGUAAAUUUGAGUUCUUCCAUAUUGUGGCACAAACGCCUAGGUCAUAUUUCUAGGCAAAGAUUAGAGAGAUUGGUUAGAGAUGGUGAGUAUUAUGGGAGAUAUGAUGAGACUGGACGGAAUUCUGGACCAUUCACUAAGUUUAUGUUGGAAUGCGGCAUUGAUGCUAGAUAUACAAUGUCAGGCACUCCUCAACAGAAUGGGGUUGCAGAAAGGAGGAAUCGCACAUUGUUGGAUAUGGUGAGGUGCAUGUUGUCUAAUUCCUCCUUACCAGAAUUUCUAUGGGGUGAAGCCUUAAGGAAUGCGGCAUAUAUUUUGAAUCAAGUGCCCAGUAAGUCUGUGCUUAAGACACCUUAUGAGCUAUGCGCAGCGGAAGUGUGGUUAGGCCCUAUAAUCCACAGUCAAAGAAACUUGAUCCUAAAACCAUUAUUGGUUUCUUUGUUGGCUAUUGCAUUGGAUUAAGGGGUUCCAGAUUUUAUUGUCCAUCUCAUACCACCAGGAUCAUUGAGUUAGACAGGGUUGUAUAUUUUGAAGAUGUGAGCUCUGUUGAUGAAAGAUCUAGUGGUAUCUGAAGUUUGAUAGUAUUAUCACCCAAAAUGACUUUAAAGAAAAUACAGUUGACAGAUGCAUAUAUUUGAGGGUUAGUGGGAGUAGUUACAUAUUUCUUGUUUUAUAUGUUGAUGAUAUACUACUCGCAUUAAAUGAUCCUAACUUGUUGAUUGAGACAAAGCACAUGUUGUCAACCCAUUUUGACAUGAAGGAUCUUGGUGAGGCUUCUUAUGUCUUGGGCAUAAAGAUUCUUCGUGAUAGGGCUAAUGGAGUGCUUAAAUUGUCUCAAAGAGCCUAUAUUGAAAAGAUAUGAAGAGGUUCAAUAUGCACAACUGUAGUUUGAUAUUGCUUUUAUUGUGGGCAUGUUGGGAAGGUACUUGAGCAAUCCUGGGAGUCAACAUUGGAAUGCAGCUAAGAAGGUCCUUAGGUAUUUGCAAGGAACUAAGGACUUAAUGUUGACAUAUCAGCGCACCAGCUUACUUGAUGUAGUUGGGUUUUGUGAUGCUGAUUUUGCUGGCUGCAUAGAUGAUAAGAAAUCCACUACGGGCUAUAUUUUUAUGAUGGCAGGAGGAGCUGUAUCUUGGAAAAGUGUCAAGCAGACACUUACAACAUCCUCAACUAUGGAGGCAGAGUAUGUGGCAUGUUAUGAGGCUUGUUGUCAUGCUAUGUGGAUGCGGAAUUUUGUUUCAGCUUUAGGAGUUGUUGACUCCAUUUUUAGACCGCUGAAAUUAUUUUGUGAUAAUUCCGCAGCUGUUGCUUUCUCCAAGAACACUAGGAGUAUUUCUCGCUCCAAACAUAUUGAUGUAAAGUUCUAUUUUGUUAAGGAGAAAGUGGCAGGGUCUCUUAUUGAUAUUGAACACAUGUCCACAAAAAGUAUGUUGGCGGAUCCAUUAACAAAAGGCUUACCCAUAAUUGCGUUUCAGGAACAUGUAUCUCAAAUGGGGUUGUUGGAAGCCUAGGUUGUAUUAAGUUAGUGGGAGCCAUUUUUUUUUUGUAUUGUAAUACUAUGUUAUUGUUGAAAGGAUUGCUAUUAUUGUACAUUUCCCUAUGAAUCAAGCAAUGAA
Molecule: long non-coding RNA, 4116 nt
Organism: Vitis vinifera (wine grape)
Lineage: Eukaryota; Viridiplantae; Streptophyta; Magnoliopsida; Vitales; Vitaceae
Exons: 2
Source: RefSeq, a predicted model, not a curated record